AGUGAACGCUGGCGGUAGGCCUAACACAUGCAAGUCGAACGGCAGCACAGUAAGAGCUUGCUCUUACGGGUGGCGAGUGGCGGACGGGUGAGGAAUACAUCGGAAUCUACUUUUUCGUGGGGGAUAACGUAGGGAAACUUACGCUAAUACCGCAUACGACCUACGGGUGAAAGCAGGGGAUCUUCGGACCUUGCGCGAUUGAAUGAGCCGAUGUCGGAUUAGCUAGUUGGCGGGGUAAAGGCCCACCAAGGCGACGAUCCGUAGCUGGUCUGAGAGGAUGAUCAGCCACACUGGAACUGAGACACGGUCCAGACUCCUACGGGAGGCAGCAGUGGGGAAUAUUGGACAAAGGGCGCAAGCCUGAUCCAGCCAUACCGCGUGGGUGAAGAAGGCCUUCGGGUUGUAAAGCCCUUUUGUUGGGAAAGAAAAGCAGCAGGUUAAUACCCCGCUGUUCUGACAGUACCAAAAGAAUAAGCACCGGCUAACUUCGUG
RNAcentral lists this ribosomal RNA (492 nucleotides) under uncultured bacterium. RNAcentral describes it as "partial 16S ribosomal RNA". It matches the Rfam family "Bacterial small subunit ribosomal RNA", at positions 29 to 507 of the family's 1533-position model. The record is from RNAcentral.